GGGUGCUGCUAUUCUGGCCGGCAAAGAGAGGGGGUAGGGUCGCCGCCACCGGAGUGGGUGGUGGUCGCCGGUUGGGGGAGGGGUGUUGGCACACAACAAGAAUCCGUCGUUUUAGCGUCUGUAUUUAGCGUCCGACGAUACAAGCGGACGGUAAAUUUAAAAUUAGCGUCCGAUUUAAGACAGAUGCAAAUUAACGUCCGCUUUCUGAGAUUUAGCGUCCGUUCUUUUAGACUGACGCUAAUUAGCGUCCGUGUAAUUAAAAUACCGUCCGUCAUACGGACGCUAAAUAAGAGGUAUAAAAAAAAAAAACUCCGGUCAACCAAACUAUCAACCCUAAGUUUCUAACCCACGCCUCUCUCUUCCUCACUCUCAAGUCUCAUCUCACGUUUCUCUCUCUUCUUCACUCUCAUCUCACAUUUUGGUGCUCUCUCUUUCUUGUAGAUCUCACGAAAUCAGUGUGUAAUUAUGCGAAGGGUAGAUGGGUUGUAGAUAACAGACGACCAUUGUAUUCUGGCUCAAAAUGCAAGCACUGGCUAUCAGAGAUGUGGGCUUAUAGAUGGCAACCACCAAUUUGUGAUAUGCCAGACUUUGAAAGAUCUUCAUUUUUGAAAAGUUCAAAAUGAUGAUCAUGAAAACUGGAGGAAUUUGCUUAUUUCGAGUGAAGACCAUAGAGAAUGAUGAUUUCGUUUCCUUGAGCUGGUUCGUGAUGGAUGCAUUGGCUAAGGCCAAGAUACUUAUAGAUGCUAUUUAUAAUGAUGGGUGGUGGGUGGGCUGCAUUUCUAAAGUCCUUGGUGACUCAAAAUAUUUAGUUUUGUUCCAGAUUUUUGUUGUGGAGUUUAAAUUAGUGUACAUGUAAUUAUAUGAGAUUUGUAUUAGAUUUUGUUCUAAGUAUACUAGAAUUUAGUUCUCGAAUUAUUUUUUCACUUGUAUCUACAUUUAUUAUCAAUAAUAAUUGAAUUUAUUAA
Molecule: long non-coding RNA, 965 nt
Organism: Beta vulgaris subsp. vulgaris (sugar beet)
Lineage: Eukaryota; Viridiplantae; Streptophyta; Magnoliopsida; Caryophyllales; Amaranthaceae
Exons: 3
Source: RefSeq, a predicted model, not a curated record